AGAAUAUUAUAUUCCCCAUAAAAACUACUUGAACCGAUUAAUCGAUUAUGAAAACAGUUAGCGAUUCAUUUAGUAAUCGAUUAACUGUUGCACCUCUGGUCACGUUAAGAAAAAAUUAUUUUGGACAAAUGCAUCAAGUGUAUCAUUUUACAAUCCAUCACGUUUUUAUAAUUUUGUCUAUCCUCCCCAGGGAACCUCUUAAGAUGAGUCUUCUCAGGCACCAAGCAAAGUCAUCUUGUCUGUGGCAAGCCACAACAACCAUCGAGCAGCUGAAGUCUCUCUCGAGGUGUCAUAGUCGCCGGGGAGAUGACGACAUUACCCCAAACUAAAGGCACUACAGAGACCGGGAACAGGCACAUUGUCUUGGGGCGCCGAAAACUCUCCACCUCGUUGAGCUGUGUGAAUGAACCAAAAAUCUACUUCAUAUAUUGGGCUCUUAUAAUAAACACUGCUGCUUGAGACAUCAACGGUUUCCGUCUUCCUGGUUCAUCAUCCACUCCAUCAAUUAUUCCAUUUCACAUCACACACACACACACACAAACAAAAACACCCCUCAAUAUCACCCAGUGUCCUAAAGAGGGCGGGUCCUGCAGAGAGGAGGGGGCGGGGCCUGUGCCUGUGCCUGUUGACAGUCAUCAUGCUGGUGCUUGUAGUGAACACGACGAAGGUUACAGCUCUGGCUUGGAACCAGCGACACGAGUUGGAGCCAUGCUAAAGAUGUCUCGGUCGGCACUGCAUUACUAUCUGACCUUUAAAAUGUCCACCUGCCUCGAUGCUCCUGCCUGUAAAUGUCCACCUGCCUCGAUGCUCCUGCCUGUAAAUCACCUACACACGUCCGUUCACACUGCACUGCGUGCCAACGGUACUGUAUGUCACUGACGUCAUGGUAUAACAACCAUGCUGAACAUUGUGAUCCUUUAAGUUCAAUGGAGUUUUUUUUCUUCUGUUGUGCCACUGACGGCUACCGUUAUUCCUGCUGCUCCGCCACAUGCGCCGUUAUGCGGGGUAACGCCAUCCCUUCUCGAUCGGUCCGAUCCGCCGAGUCCAGUUCCACUCGCAGCGUGGAAGGGGAACCGACUAAAUGUUGGAUUUGCUGUCACAACGGCUUCAGCUUUCCGUGUACUUCUCUGUUGCACAUAGCACGGCACAGGAAACGAGGAAGAGACGGUCAAAUGCCAAAUCUAUUUUAGAUCCAACUUGUGGAUGUGAGACAUGAAACAAGGAGGAUGAGGAGGAGGAGGAGGAGGAGUGGGGGAAAGAGAGGGGGGAUAUUGUAUAAGAUGUGAGAAAUAUCAAGCUUAAUGAUGCAGACACAUCUUAUAUUACCACGUGUAAGGAUUCAGCUGUGCUGUGACAUUGAUUUCUCAUAAACACCAACAUAUAGCACAAAGUGUAGGCCUGAUGCGAGGAGCUGUAAAAGCUGUAAAGCGGGGACAAGCGCGCCGAGUCUUUUCUCGUCAUAUGAAAUGUGCUUUAUAAAUAAACUCGACAUGACUUUUUGAAAUAUGUGUAAGAUGCUCUGAGUUAGAACUUUGUUUCUCAUGACAUACUGACAACUGGAAUGGCAUCAUUUAUUCAUCCUUUGGGGAGCACUUUGCUCGCUGCAACCCCAAUGAUGUUCUGAAUAAUGCAGAGGUGAGCCACCUCUCAGUCCUCCUCUGCAGCACAUCCAACUGAUACUUUCCAUUUGACUGAAACAAUCCAGAAACUAUUUGUAUAAUGGAUUUAUCAAAACUGAAUAGUUAGUACAGAUGUUACGGAAGUACGUCUCCAAUGGUAUCGGCUUGUAAAAUGUUAGACAAACAAUAGAAAUACUAACAUAUUCUGUGUGAGAUAAGCUUGGAACCAAAAUUAUGAUUGCGAAACGAUAAUACUACUGAGAUAAUUAAAAUGAUAUCAUUUGAUUUUCUGUCAUUUUAUUGUAGCUUGUGGAUUCUAGUAAAGAGGGGACUGAUGCCACUAUCUCUCACACAGAUUUGAGCCACACACACACACACACCUCAUAUGUGGGGUAAAAAUGUAGUAACAUCUUUAAUACCAUUUCGUUUGCACAGCAUAUAUAUAUUACAACCUCAAUUCUUUUACCUUUUUUACCUUUUGCAUUGAACCAGCAAGCAUCUCAUAAAGCAUUUUCAAAAACAUCCUAAAAUUUCACUAUCCUAAAAAAAUGACUAUUUACUUUUCUCCGUUUCAUACAAAAUGUGCUUCCAAUCAUUUAAAGUACAUAAUGAUGAGAUGAACAACAAAAACAAAAGAUGCGUAUAAAAUGAUCUACUGGGUUAACUGCACAUGUCAGUUAUCAUCAUGGCCUCAUGGAAAAUUCUGCCCUUUAGAAGUGGAAAAUGAAGCUUCUGCUCCUCCGCUGAUUUCAUCACAGGAAAUGUCCC
Scophthalmus maximus (turbot) is the source of this 2387-nucleotide long non-coding RNA. RefSeq lists it as uncharacterized. NCBI's taxonomy places the organism in Eukaryota, Metazoa, Chordata, Actinopteri, Pleuronectiformes, Scophthalmidae. The transcript has 2 exons. The record is from RefSeq and is a predicted model, not a curated record.